GAUGCAGGGGAUGAUGUAUUUUAUUGUGAAUACGAGUAUGAUAUACACUGGCACAAUUUUAAGCGUUUGGCGGAUAUU
Molecule: small nucleolar RNA, 78 nt
Filed under: Dichanthelium oligosanthes
Lineage: Eukaryota; Viridiplantae; Streptophyta; Magnoliopsida; Poales; Poaceae
Description: Small nucleolar RNA snoR28
Rfam family: Small nucleolar RNA snoR28
About the family: R28 is a member of the C/D class of snoRNA which contain the C (UGAUGA) and D (CUGA) box motifs. Most of the members of the box C/D family function in directing site-specific 2'-O-methylation of substrate RNAs.
Source: Rfam by way of RNAcentral